AGUGAACGCUGGCGGUAGGCCUAACACAUGCAAGUCGAACGGCAGCACAGUAAGAGCUUGCUCUUACGGGUGGCGAGUGGCGGACGGGUGAGGAAUACAUCGGAAUCUACUUUUUCGUGGGGGAUAACGUAGGGAAACUUACGCUAAUACCGCAUACGACCUACGGGUGAAAGCAGGGGAUCUUCGGACCUUGCGCGAUUGAAUGAGCCGAUGUCGGAUUAGCUAGUUGGCGGGGUAAAGGCCCACCAAGGCGACGAUCCGUAGCUGGUCUGAGAGGAUGAUCGGCCACACUGGAACUGAGACACGGUCCAGACUCCUACGGGAGGCAGCAGUGGGGAAUAUUGGACAAUGGGCGCAAGCCUGAUCCAGCCAUACCGCGUGGGUGAAGAAGGCCUUCGGGUUGUAAAGCCCUUUUGUUGGGAAAGAAAAGCAGCAGGUUAAGACCCCGCUGUUCUGACGGUACCCAAAGAAUAAGCACCGGCUAACUUCGU
Molecule: ribosomal RNA, 491 nt
Filed under: uncultured bacterium
Lineage: Bacteria
Description: partial 16S ribosomal RNA
Rfam family: Bacterial small subunit ribosomal RNA
Source: RNAcentral